UACAGAGGGUGCGAGCGUUAAUCGGAAUUACUGGGCGUAAAGCGUGCGUAGACGGUCAAGUAAGUCGGGUGUGAAAAUCCCCGGGCUCAACCUGGGAAUGGCAGUGGAUACUGGCAAGCUAGAGUGCGGUAGAGGGUAGUGGAAUUCCCGGUGUAGCAGUGAAAUGCGUAGAGAUCGGGAGGAACACCAGUGGCGAAAGGCGGCUACCUGGACCAGCACUGACCACUGGAAAGCACGAAAGCGUGGGGGAAGCAAAACAGGUUGAGAUACCCAGUUAGCCAGAACCAUGCCUCUGGCUA
Molecule: ribosomal RNA, 299 nt
Filed under: uncultured bacterium
Lineage: Bacteria
Description: partial 16S ribosomal RNA
Rfam family: Bacterial small subunit ribosomal RNA
Source: RNAcentral